Molecule: long non-coding RNA, 558 nt
Organism: Tachysurus fulvidraco (yellow catfish)
Lineage: Eukaryota; Metazoa; Chordata; Actinopteri; Siluriformes; Bagridae
Exons: 3
Source: RefSeq, a predicted model, not a curated record
CUUCUGGCGUCAUUUUAUCUGUGGAACUGCAACCCCAGGCGAUUUAUUAUUUAAUACAGAAAGCAAGUCAUCUUUAAAAAGAAGUUGUGGUGACUUUAAGAGCCGGUGUGAACGUGUAGCAGCUCCGAUGGGUUCAUACUGUAUCCAGCGGACACACGUCCCGUAUUAAACCCCUGCGAUACCCGAGCGGUCACACAGCCGCACAGAGGAGACACAUCAUCAACAAACCGACACAUCAACAGAUGAAGAAUGAUAAACGUGUGAAGUUCAUGUUUCCAUGCGUUUAGAUCCAGUAGUGUAUCGUGUAUCGUGGACGUGUGUGUGAGUGUGUGUGAGUUGUGUGUCAGCCCGGUUGCUGUCCCUGGUCCUGGAUCCAUAUCGCCUCCAUGGUGAAACAAAGACUUUAGACACAGAGACCGACCAGGGAGCACAAACAGGAAGCAGCAAAUUGGAUGAUUACGUGUUGGAUCCAGGCAGCAUGGAGCAGGCACCCUAACAGAUUUUAGUUUUUUAUCCUACAGAAGGGGUUUGAUGGAGAUCUGGUCGAAUGACAGCGGG